GUGAGGAAUUUUCCGCAAUGGGCGAAAGCCUGACGGAGCAAUGCCGCGUGAAGGAUGAAGGCCUAUGGGUUGUAAACUUCUUUUCUCAGAAAAGAAUUAUGACGGUAUCUGAGGAAUAAGCAUCGGCUAACUCUGUGCCAGCAGCCGCGGUAAGACAGAGGAUGCAAGCGUUAUCCGGAAUGAUUGGGCGUAAAGCGUCUGUAGGUUGUUUAAAAAGUAUUCUGUCAAAGAUUAGGGCUUAACCAUAGAUAGGCAGAAUAAAGUUUUAAGCUAGAGUUUGGUAGAGGCAGAGGGAAUUCCCGGUGGAGCGGUGAAAUGCGUAGCUAUCGGGAGGAACACCAAAGGCGAAGGCACUCUGCUGGGCCAAUACUAACACUGAGAGACGAAAGCGAGGGGAGCAAAUGGGAUUAGAAACCCCGGUAGUCC
This 426-nucleotide ribosomal RNA is filed under the name uncultured bacterium. Its description in RNAcentral is "partial 16S ribosomal RNA". It matches the Rfam family "Bacterial small subunit ribosomal RNA", at positions 354 to 796 of the family's 1533-position model. The record is from RNAcentral.